AGAUUGAACGCUGGCGGCAGGCCUAACACAUGCAAGUCGAGCGGCAGCACGGGUACUUGUACCUGGUGGCGAGCGGCGGACGGGUGAGUAAUGCCUAGGAAUCUGCCUGGUAGUGGGGGAUAACGCUCGGAAACGGACGCUAAUACCGCAUACGUCCUACGGGAGAAAGCAGGGGACCUUCGGGCCUUGCGCUAUCAGAUGAGCCUAGGUCGGAUUAGCUAGUUGGUGAGGUAAUGGCUCACCAAGGCGACGAUCCGUAACUGGUCUGAGAGGAUGAUCAGUCACACUGGAACUGAGACACGGUCCAGACUCCUACGGGAGGCAGCAGUGGGGAAUAUUGGACAAUGGGCGAAAGCCUGAUCCAAGCCAUGCCGCGUGUGUGAAGAAGGUCUCGGAUUGUAAAGCACUUUAAGUUGGAGAAGGCAGUAAACUAAUACUUUAGCUUGUUUUAGUACGUUAACCGACAAGAAUAAAGCAACCGGCUAACUCUGUAG
This 494-nucleotide ribosomal RNA is filed under the name uncultured soil bacterium. RNAcentral's name for it is "bacterial SSU rRNA". It matches the Rfam family "Bacterial small subunit ribosomal RNA", at positions 26 to 508 of the family's 1533-position model. The record is from RNAcentral.